CGGGCGGAAGAGCGACACGCAUGUCAGGUGGAGGACAACGUGACCGUGCCUUGAGCAUCUCUGCUGUCAUCCGUGGCUCCUGAAGGACACUUGGGCCGCCUUCCAACAUCAGCCCACUGGGAGAUUUCUUCAGAAUGCCACCCAGCAUUUUUCUCCAGAAACAUGAAGGAAGGCUGAGCAAACUUCACAUUAACAGUUCUGGAGACCCAAGCCCUCAUGCUCUGAAAAAUCUCGAAUCCUGGGCCUCAGUAGUACAUUUUUACUGAUGGCUUCAGGGGAUGGAGCUAGAAUGACAGGAGAAUCCACAAAACAGUA
Fukomys damarensis (Damara mole-rat) is the source of this 315-nucleotide long non-coding RNA. RefSeq lists it as uncharacterized. The transcript has 3 exons. The record is from RefSeq and is a predicted model, not a curated record. Lineage: Eukaryota; Metazoa; Chordata; Mammalia; Rodentia; Bathyergidae.